Molecule: long non-coding RNA, 6196 nt
Filed under: Salmo salar (Atlantic salmon)
Lineage: Eukaryota; Metazoa; Chordata; Actinopteri; Salmoniformes; Salmonidae
Description: lncRNA (ENSSSAG00000098094.1)
Source: RNAcentral
CUGCUCUGGCACCCCAAUGGUGGAACAAGCUCCCUCACGACGCCAGGACAGCGGAGUCAAUCACCACCUUCCGGAGACACCUGAAACCCCACCUCUUUAAGGAAUACCUGGGAUAGGAUAAAGUAAUCCUUCAAACCUUCUAAGAGCGUCUGCUAAAUGACUUAAAUGUAAUGUAAAUGUAACAUCGUGUAGUCAUAGUAACCAGGUGUUGAUAUCGUGUAGUCAUAGUAACCAUGUAUUGAUAUCGUGUCGUUAUAGUAGCCAGGAGUGGUAUGGUAUUGAUAUCGUGUAGUCAUAGUAACUAGGUAUUGAUAUUGUGUAGUCAUAGUAACCAGGAGUGGUAUGGUGUUGAUAUCAUGUAGUCAUAGUAACCAGGUAUUGAUAUGGUGUUGCUAUCGUGUGUAUCUAAAGAGCAAUAGGAGUGUGCAUUGUGGCUCACAAAAUUAUUGACGCAUGAAGUGGACAGUUUUUUUGAUUUUCGAAACAGGGCACUGGUAAAAGGUUUUAUCUUUGGCGUCCCGUUGGACAUUGAUAAUAAAUAGCUUAGGCUAAACAUUCCAGCAGUAGUUAAAGCAAUGAGAAGUUUCUGUAUUAUUGAUGUUUGAUGAAAUGCAUCUACCAACCUAUGUAAAGCUGAGAUUUGUCUGGCUGGUGUGUUUACGGACAUAUUCAAUCUCUCCCUAUCCCAGUCUGCUGUCCCCACAUGCUUCAAGAUGGCCACCAUUUUUCCUGUACCCAAGAAGGCAAAGGUUACUGAACUUAAUGACUAUCCCCCAGUAGCGAUCUCCUGUUAUCAUGAAGUGCUUUGAGAGACUAGUCAAGGACCCUAUCACCUCUACCUUACCUGCCACUUCGAUUUGCUUACCGCCCCAAUAGAUCCACAGACGAUGCAAUCGCCAUCACUCUGCACACUGCCCUAGCCCUAUAUCUGGACAAGAGGAUUACCUAUGUAAGAAUGCUGUUCAUUGACUACAGCUCAGCAUUCAACACCAUAAUACCCUCCAAGCUCAUCAUUAAGCUUGAGGCCCUGGGUCUGAAACCCGCCCUGUGCAACUGGAUCGUGGACUUCCUGAUGGGCAGCCCCCAGGUGGCGAAGGUAGGAAACGUCACCUCCGCUGAUCCACAACACUGGGACCCCACAAGGGUGGGUGCUCAGCCCCCUCCUGUACUCCCUGUUCACCCAUGAAUGCGUGGCCAAGCACGCCUCCAACUCAAUCAUCAAGUUUGCAGACGACAACAGCAGUAGGCUUGAUUACUAACGAUGACAAGACAGCUUACAGGGAGGAGGUGAGGGCUCAGAGCCUCUUCAAACUCAGGAGGCUAAAGAAAUGUGGCUUGUCACCUAAAACCCUCACACAUUUUUACAGAUGCACAAUUGAAAGCAUCCUGUCGGGCUGUAUCACCACCUGGUACAGCAACUACACUGCCCGCAACAGCUAGGCUCUCCAGAGGGUGAUGCAUUACCGGGGGGCAAACUUCCGCCCUCCAGGACCCCUACAGCACCCGAUGUCACAGGAAGGCCAAAAAGAUCAUCAUGGACAUCAACAACCCAAGCCACUGCCUGUACAUCCCGCUAUCAUCCAGGCGAGGUCAGAACAGGUGCAUCAAAGCGGGGACUGAGAGACUGAAAAACAGUCUCUAUCUCAAGGCCAUCAGACUGUUAAACAGCCAUCACUAGGACAUUAGAGGCUGCUGCCUAUAGGCAUAGACUAGAAAUCACUGGCCAUUUUAAGAAAUGGAACACUAGUCACUUUAAUAAUGUUUACAUAUCUGGCAUUACUCAUCUCACAUGUAUAUACUGUUUUUCUAUACUAUUCUACAGUAUCUCAUUCACUUAAAAAUGCUUCCAUAUCUUGCAUUACUCAUCUCAUAUGUAUAUACUGUUUUUCUACACUAUUCUACUGUAUCUUAGACUGUUCUGCUCUGACAUCGCUCGUCCAUAUGUACAGUUGAAGUCAGAAGUUUACAUACACUUAGGUUGGAGUCAUUAAAACUCAAUUUUUCAACCACUUAACAAACUAUAGUUUUGGCAAGUAGGUUAGGACAUCUACUUUGUGCAUGACAAUUGUUUACAGACAGAUUAUUUCACUUAUAAUUCACUGUAUCACAAUUCUAGUGGGUCAGAAGUUUACAUAUACACUAAGUUGACUGUGCCUUUAAACUGCUUGGAAAAUUCCAGAAAAUGUCAUGGCUCUAGAAGCUUCUGAUAGGCUAAUUGACAUAAUUUGAGUCAAUUGGAGGUGUACCUGUGGAUGUAUUUCAAGGCCUACCUUCAAACCCAGUGCCUCUUUGCUUGACAUCAUAGGAAAAUCAAAAGAAAUGGUAGACCACCAUAAGUCUGGUUCAUCCUUGGGAGCAAUUUCCAAACGCCUGAAGGUACCACGUUCAUCUGUACAAACAAUAGUAUGCAAGUAUAAACACCAUGGGACCACGCAGCCGUCAUAUCGCUUAGAAAGGAGACGUGUUCUGUCCCCUAGAGAUGAACGUACUUUGGUGCAUAUCAAUCCCAGAACAACAGCAAAGGACCUUGUGAAGAUGCUGGAGGAAACGGGUGCAAAAGUAUCUAUAUCCACAGUAAAAUGAGUCCUAUAUCGACAUAACCUGAAAGGCCGCUCAGCAAAGAAGAAGCCACUGCUACAAAACCGCCAUAAAAAAGCCAGACUACGGUUUGCAACUGCACAUGGGGGCAAAGAUUGUACUUUUUGGAGAAAUGUCCUCUGGUCUGAUGAAACAAAAAUAGAACUGUUUGGCCAUAAUGACCCUCAUUAUGUUUGGAGGAAAAAGGGCGAGGCUUGCAAGCCGAAGUACACCAUCCCAACUAUGAAGCACGGAGGUGGCAGCAUCAUGUUGUGGGGGUGCUUUGCUGCACUUCACAAAAUCGAUGGCAUCAUGUGGAAGGAAAAGUAUGUGGAUAUAUUGAAGCAACAUCUCAAGACAUCAGUCAGGAAGUUAAAGCUUGGGUCUUCCAAAUGGACAAUUUUUUUUAACCUUUAUUUAACUAGGCAAGUCAGUUAAGAACAAAUUCUUAUUUUCAAUGAUGGCCUAGGAACAGUGGGUUAACUGCCUUGUUCAGGGGCAGAACAACAGAUGUUUUACCUUGUCAGCUCAGGGAUUCAAUCUUACAACCUUUUGGUUACUAGUCCAACGCUCUAACCAUUAGGCUACCUGCCGCCCAUACUUUCAGCGCUCUAACCACUAGGCUACCUGCCGCCCAUACGAGCGUACUUCCAAAGUUGUGGAAAAAUGGCUUAAGGACAACAAAGUCAAUGUAUUGGAGUGGCCAUCACAAAGCCUUGACCUCAAUCCCAUAGAACAUUUGUGGGCAGAACUGAAAAAGCACAUGCGAGCAAGGAGGCCUACAAACCUAACUCAGUUACACCAGCUCUGUCAGGAGAAAUGGGCCAAAAUUCACCCACUUAUUGUGGGAAGCUUGUGGAAGGCUACCUGAAACAUUUGAACACAGAGUUGGAAUGAAACAGUUGCACACAGUUCCCUUUGAAAGGAACAGUGAGCGGGUCAAGGAACUCCGCCACCAAUACGUCCACGUAUGAUGUCUAUCCAAUAUGUCUAGUUCUAUAUAGUGAGUUUUACACUAUGGGGUCAGGGAACUCUGGCACGAAUACAUCCAGGUAUGGUGUCUAUCCAAUAUGUCUAGUUCUAUAUAGUGAGUUUUACACUAUGGGGUCAGGGAACUCUGGCACCAAUACAUCCAGGUAUGGUGUCUAUCCAAUAUGUCUAGUUCUAUAUAGUGAGUUUUACACUAUGGGGUCAGGGAACUCUGGCACCAAUACAUCCAGGUAUGGUGUCUAUCCAAUAUGUCUAGUUCUAUAUAGUGAGUUUUACACUAUGGGGUCAGGGAACUCUGGCACCAAUACAUCCAGGUAUGGUGUCUAUCCAAUAUGUCUAGUUCUAUAUAGUGAGUUUUACACUAUGGGGUCAGGGAACUCUGGCACCAAUACAUCCAGGUAUGGUGUCUAUCCAAUAUGUCUAGUUCUAUAUAGUGAGUUUUACACUAUGCUACUCUACAUGUUAACAUGGGUUACAGUAGGACACUAUGCUACUCUACAUGUUAACAUGGGUUACAGUACAUACAGUUGGAACACUAUGCUACUCUACAUGUUAACAUGGGUUACAGUAGGACACUAUGCUACUCUACAUGUAAACAUGGGUUACAGUACAUUCAGUAGGACACUAUGCUACUCUACAUGUUAACAUGGGUUACAGUACAUACAUUAGGACACUAUGCUACUCUACAUGUUAACAUGGGUUACAGUACAUACAGUAGGACACUAUGCUACUCUACAUGUUAACAUGGGUUACAGUAGGACACUAUGCUACUCUACAUGUAAACAUGGGUUACAGUAGGACACUAUGCUACUCAACAUGUUAACAUGGGUUACAGUACAUACAUUAGGACACUAUGCUACUCUACAUGUUAACAUGGGUUACAGUACAUACAGUAGGACACUAUGCUACUCUACAUGUUAACAUGGGUUACAGUACAUACAGUAGGACACUAUGCUACUCUACAUGUUAACAUGGGUUACAGUACAUACAGUAGGACACUAUUCUACUCUACAUGUAAACAUGGGUUACAGUACAUACAGUAGGACCCUAUGCUACUCUACAUGUUAACAUGGGUUACAGUAGGACACUAUGCUACUCUACAUGUUAACAUGGGUUACAGUAGGACACUAUGCUACUCUACAUGUUAACAUGGGUUACAGUAGGACACUAUGCUACUCUACAUGUUAACAUGGGUUACAGUAGGACACUAUGCUACUCUACAUGUUAACAUGGGUUACAGUAGGACACUAUGCUACUCUACAUGUUAACAUGGGUUACAGUAGAACACUAUGCUACUCUACAUGUUAACAUGGGUUACAGUAGGACACUAUGCUACUCUACAUGUUAACAUGGGUUACAGUAGGACACUAUGCUACUCUACAUGUUAACAUGGGUUACAGUAGGACACUAUGCUACUCUACAUGUUAACAUGGGUUACUGUAGGACACUAUGCUACUCUACAUGUUAACAUGGGUUACUGUAGGACACUAUGCUACUCUACAUGUUAACAUGGGUUACAGUAGGACACUAUGCUACUCUACAUGUUAACAUGGGUUACAGUAGGACACUAUGCUACUCUACAUGUUAACAUGGGUUACAGUAGGACACUAUGCUACUCUACAUGUUAACAUGGGUUACAGUAGGACACUAUGCUACUCUACAUGUUAACAUGGGUUACAGUAGGACACUAUGCUACUCUACAUGUUAACAUGGGUUACAGUACAUACGGUAGGACACUAUGCUACUCUACAUGUUAACAUGGGUUACAGUACAUACGGUAGGACACUAUGCUACUCUACAUGUUAACAUGGGUUACAGUAGGACACUAUGCUACUCUACAUGUUAACAUGGGUUACAGUAGGACACUAUGCUACUCUACAUGUUAACAUGGGUUACAGUAGGACACUAUGCUACUCUACAUGUUAACAUGGGUUACAGUAGGACACUAUGCUACUCUACAUGUUAACAUGGGUUACAGUACAUACAGUAGGACACUAUGCUACUCUACAUGUUAACAUGGGUUACAGUAGGACACUAUGCUACUCUACAUGUUAACAUGGGUUACAGUAGGACACUAUGCUACUCUACAUGUUAACAUGGGUUACAGUAGGACACUAUGCUACUCUACAUGUUAACAUGCGUUACAGUAGGACACUAUGCUACUCUACAUGUUAACAUGGGUUACAGUACAUACAGUAGGACACUAUGCUACUCUACAUGUUAACAUGGGUUACAGUACAUACAGUAGGACACUAUGCUACUCUACAUGUUAACAUGGGUUACAGUACAUACAGUAGGACACUAUGCUACUCUACAUGUUAACAUGGGUUACAGUACAUACAGUAGGACACUAUGCUACUCUACAUGUAAACAUGGGUUACAGUACAUACAGUAGGACACUAUGCUACUCUACAUGUUAACAUGGGUUACAGUACAUACAGUAGGACACUAUGCUACUCUACAUGUUAACAUGGGUUACAGUACAUACAGUAGGACACUAUGCUACUCUACAUGUAAACAUGGGUUAUAGUAGGACACUAUGCUACUCUACAUGUUAACAUGGGUUACAGUACAUACAGUAGGACACUAUGCUACUCUACAUGUUAACAUGGGUUACAGUACAUACAGU